RNAcentral lists this ribosomal RNA (253 nucleotides) under uncultured bacterium. RNAcentral describes it as "partial 16S ribosomal RNA". It matches the Rfam family "Bacterial small subunit ribosomal RNA", at positions 524 to 776 of the family's 1533-position model. The record is from RNAcentral.
UACGGGGGGGGCAAGCGUUGUUCGGAAUUACUGGGCGUAAAGGGCUCGUAGGCGGCCAACUAAGUCAGACGUGAAAUCCCCAGGCUCAAUCUGGGAACUGCGUCUGAUACUGGAUGGCUUGAAUCCGGGAGAGGGAUGCAGAAUUCCAGGUGUAGCGGUGAAAUGCGUAGAUAUCUGGAGGAAUACCGGUGGCGAAGGCGGCAUCCUGGACCGGCAUUGACGCUGAGGAGCGAAAGCUAGGGGAGCAAACGGG